Non-coding RNA from Macaca mulatta (Rhesus monkey), 191 nucleotides. The record is from RefSeq and is a predicted model, not a curated record. NCBI's taxonomy places the organism in Eukaryota, Metazoa, Chordata, Mammalia, Primates, Cercopithecidae.
UAGUGAUACGUGGGGUGUCUUAGCUAAACAACAGACACAUGUAAGAAAACACCAGUUUGAUCAUGGAGAGCUGGUUUAUCAUGCUUUGCAAUUGUUAGCAUAUACAGCCCUUGGUAUUUUAAUUAUGAGACUAAAACUCUUCUUGACACCACACAUGUGUGUUAUGGCAUCACUGAUCUGCUCAAGACAGG